GGUCUUGUAGUCGAAACUUUAAGACAUCAGGCUGCAAUCCUGAAAGUGUAAUUAUAACCUUGGCCU
This 66-nucleotide transfer RNA is filed under the name Alpheus brevicristatus. Its description in RNAcentral is "tRNA-Cys". Lineage: Eukaryota; Metazoa; Arthropoda; Malacostraca; Decapoda; Alpheidae. The record is from RNAcentral.